This 256-nucleotide ribosomal RNA is filed under the name uncultured bacterium. RNAcentral describes it as "partial 16S ribosomal RNA". It matches the Rfam family "Bacterial small subunit ribosomal RNA", at positions 524 to 776 of the family's 1533-position model. The record is from RNAcentral.
UACGAAGGGGGCUAGCGUUGUUCGGAUUUACUGGGCGUAAAGCGCACGUAGGCGGAUCGUUAAGUCGGGGGGUGAAAUCCUGGAGCUCAACUCCAGAACUGCCUUCGAUACUGGCGAUCUUGAGUCCGGAAGAGGUGAGUGGAACUCCUAGUGUAGAGGUGGAAUUCGUAGAUAUUAGGAAGAACACCAGUGGCGAAGGCGGCUCACUGGUCCGGUACUGACGCUGAGGUGCGAAAAGCGUGGGGGAGCAAACAGG